GACGAACGCUGGCGGCGUGCUUAACACAUGCAAGUCGAGCGGUGCGGCGAACGGGUGAGUAACGCGUGAGUAACUGCCCCCCUCUCUGGGAUAACAGUUGGAAACGGCUGCUAAUAACGGAUAGUGGGGGAUGACUCGCGUCCUAUCAGCUUGUGGGUGGGGUAGUGGCCUACAAAGGCGACGACGGGUAGCCGGCCUGAGAGGGCGACCGGCCACAUUGGGCUGAGAUACGGCCCAAACUCGUACGUGGGGCAGCGGGGGGGAAUAUUGCACAAUCGUGGAGACCCUGUUGCAGCAACGCGCGUGCGGAAUGACGGCUUUCGGGUUGUAAACCGCUUUCAGCCAUGACGCGGUAGUGGCAGAAGAAGCACCGGCUAACUACGUGCCAGCAGCCGCGGUAAUUC
This 404-nucleotide ribosomal RNA is filed under the name uncultured bacterium. RNAcentral describes it as "partial 16S ribosomal RNA". It matches the Rfam family "Bacterial small subunit ribosomal RNA", at positions 28 to 526 of the family's 1533-position model. The record is from RNAcentral.